Molecule: non-coding RNA, 369 nt
Filed under: Culex quinquefasciatus (southern house mosquito)
Lineage: Eukaryota; Metazoa; Arthropoda; Insecta; Diptera; Culicidae
Description: Eukaryotic small subunit ribosomal RNA
Rfam family: Eukaryotic small subunit ribosomal RNA
Source: Rfam by way of RNAcentral
GUCUAAGUACAAACAGUUUUAAUGUGAAACCGCAUAAGGCUCAGUAUAACAGCUAUAAUUUACAAGAUCAUUUACCUAGUUACUUGGAUAACUGUGGAAAAUCUAGAGCUAAUACAUGCAAAAUGCAGGGACCUCGCGGAACCUGUGCAAUUAUUAGUCAAACCAAUCGUCCUCCUCCUGGGGCAGCGAAUGACCGAAAGGUUAAAGCUGCCGGAAAUAAAGUAAUUAACAACAACAACAACAAUCGUCCUCCGUGACGCUUGAGUUGAAAUCUGGAUUAUUUUGUUGAUCGCAUGGUCUCGCACCGGCGACAGAUCUUUCAAACAUCUGCCCUAUCAACUAUUGAUGGUAUAGAGGACGAGGGGUGAG